Molecule: non-coding RNA, 77 nt
Filed under: Desulfobacteraceae bacterium
Lineage: Bacteria; Pseudomonadati; Thermodesulfobacteriota; Desulfobacteria; Desulfobacterales; Desulfobacteraceae
Description: c-di-GMP sequence
Rfam family: c-di-GMP-I riboswitch aptamer
About the family: GEMM was predicted in a large-scale screen for bacterial structured RNA regulatory elements. Genes associated with GEMM are involved in a diverse array of functions, including chemotaxis regulation, signal transduction, secretion and chitin.
Source: RNAcentral
GACAGACAAAGCCAAACCUGUUCGUAAGACAGGGACGGAAAGCCACGGAUCUUAAUCAAGACCGCCGGGUUACCUGU